UCCCUGGAGAACUAGUGGUUAGACCACAGUGCUCUCACUGCCAUGGCCCAGGUUCGAAUCCUGGCCAGGGAG
RNAcentral lists this transfer RNA (72 nucleotides) under Pangasianodon hypophthalmus (striped catfish). Its description in RNAcentral is "tRNA-Glu". Lineage: Eukaryota; Metazoa; Chordata; Actinopteri; Siluriformes; Pangasiidae. The record is from RNAcentral.